This is a non-coding RNA of Xyrichtys novacula (pearly razorfish), 20839 nucleotides long. The record is from the annotation of a GenBank genome assembly. NCBI's taxonomy places the organism in Eukaryota, Metazoa, Chordata, Actinopteri, Labriformes, Labridae.
GGUUAAAAUCACUGUCCAAAACCUUUUAAGGAACAAGAUUCAGACCUUUUGGAGUUGGUUACACCAAAAAAAAAAUGUAAAAUGAAAAAAAAUUUAUUUGGGGUGUUCGGGCUUCCUGAAGGUAAUACCCGGGUAUUAGGUUAUGGGGCUAGGGUAAGGUUUAAGGUUUUUGGCGUAAGGGUUAAAAUCACUGUCCAAAACCUUUUUAGGAACAUGUUUCAGACCUUUUGGAGCUAGUUUGAGCAAAAAAGAAAAGAAAAAGAAAAAAUAUAUAUUUGGGGUGUUCGGGCUUCCUGAAGGUAAUACCCGGGUAUUAGGUUAUGGGGCUAGGUUAAGGUUUAAGGUUUUUGGCGUGAGGGUUAAAAUCACUGUCCAAAACCUUUGUAGGAAGUCUUUUCCAACCUUUUGGAGUUAGUUAGACAAAAAAAAAAGAUAAAUGAAAAAAAAAUAUUUGGGUGUUCGGGCUUCCUGAAGGUAAUACCCGGGUAUUAGGUUAUGGGGCUAGGGUAAGGUUUAAGGUUUUUGGCGUAAGGGUUAAAAUCACUGUCCAAAACCGUUUUAGGAACAUGUUUCAGACCUUUUGGAGUUGGUUACACCAAAAAAAAAUGUAAAAUGAAAAAAAAAUAUUUGGGGUGUUCGGGCUUCCUGAAGGUAAUACCCGGGUAUUAGGUUAUGGGGCUAGGGUAAGGUUUAAGGUUUUUGGCGUAAGGGUUAAAAUCACUGUCCAAAACCUUUUUAGGAACAUGUUUCAGACCUUUUGGAGUUGGUUACACCAAAAAAAAUGUAAAAUGAAAAAAAAAAUUUUUUGGGGUGUUCGGGCUUCCUGAAGGUAAUACUAGGUUUCUGGGCUAGGGUAAUGUUUAAGGUUUUUGGCGUUAGGGUUAAAAUCAAUGUCCAAAACCUUUGUAGGAACUCUUUUCCAACCUUUGAGAGCAAGUUAGACCAAAAAUAAAGAAAAAUAAAAAAUAUAUAUUUGGGGUGUUCGGGCUUCCUGAAGGUAAUACCUGGGUAUUAGGUUAUGGGGCUAGGGUUAGGUUUAAGGUUUUUGGCGUUAGGGUUAAAAUCACUGUCCAAUAUUUUUUAAGGAACAUGUUUCAGACCUUUGGGAGUUAGUUAGACAAAAAAAAGAAAAAGAAAAAAAAAUAUUUGGGGUGUUCGGGUUUCCUGAAGGUAAUACCCGGGUAUUAGGUUAUGGGGCUAGGGUAAGGUUUAAGGUUUUUGGCGUUAGAGUUAAAAUCACUGUCCAAAACCUUUUUAGGAACAUGUUUAAGACCUUUUGGAGUUGGUUACACCAAAAAAAAUGUAAAAUGAAAAAAAAAUAUUUGGGGUGUUCGGGCUUCCUGAAGGUAAUACCCGGGUAUUAGGUUAUGGGGCUAGGGUAAGGUUUAAGGUUUUUGGCGUUAGGGUUAAAAUCACUGUCCAAAACCUGUGUAGGAAGUCUUUUCCAACCUUUUGGAGUUAGUUAGACCAAAAAAAAAACGAAAAAUGAAAAAAAAAUAUUUGGGGUGUUCGGGCUUCCUGAAGGUAAUACCCGGGUAUUAGGUUAUGGGGCUAGGGUAAGGUUUAUGGUUUUUGGCGUAAGGGUUAAAAUCACUGUCCAAAACCGUUUUAGGAACAUGUUUCAGACCUUUUGGAGUUGGUUACACCAAAAAAAAAUGUAAAAUGAAAAAAAAAUAUUUGGUGUGUUCAAGCUUCCUGAAGGUAAUACCCGGGUAUUAGGUUAUGGGGCUAGGGUAAGGUUUAAGGUUUUUGGCGUAAGGGUUAAAAUCACUGUCCAAAACCUUUUUAGGAACAUGUUUCAGACCUUUUGGAGUUGGUUACACCAAAAAAAAUGUAAAAUGAAAAAAAAAUUUUUUUGGGUGUUCAGGCUUCCUGAAGGUAAUACUAGGUUUCUGGGCUAGGGUAAUGUUUAAGGAUUUUGGCGUUAGGGUUAAAAUCAAUGUCCAAAACCUUUGUAGGAACUCUUUUCCAACCUUUGAGAGCAAGUUAGACCAAAACAAAAAGAAAAAUAAAAAAUAUAUAUUUGGGGUGUUCGGGCUUCCUGAAGGUAAUACCUGGGUAUUAGGUUUUGGGGCUAGGGUUAGGUUUAAGGUUUUUGGCGUUAGGGUUAAAAUAACUGUCCAAUAUUUUUUAAGGAACAUGUUUCAGACCUUUGGGAGUUAGUUAGACAAAAAAAAAGAAAAAUGAAAAAAAAUAUUUGGGGUGUUCGGGUUUCCUGAAGGUAAUACCCGGGUAUUAGGUUAUGGGGCUAGGGUAAGGUUUAAGGUUUUUGGCGUUAGAGUUAAAAUCAGUGUCCAAAACCUUUUUAGGAACAUGUUUAAGACCUUUUGGAGUUGGUUACACCAAAAAAAAUGUAAAAUGAAAAAAAAUAUAUUUGGGGUGUUCGGGCUUCCUGAAGGUAAUACCCGGGUAUUAGGUUAUGGGGCUAGGGUAAGGUUUAAGGUUUUUGGCGUGAGGGUUAAAAUCACUGUCCAAAACCUUUGUAGGAAGUCUUUUCCAACCUUUUGGAGUUAGUUAGACCAAAAAAAAACGAAAAAUGAAAAAAAAAUAUUUGGGGUGUUUGGGCUUCCUGAAGGUAUUAUGUUUUGGGGCUAGGGUAAGGUUUAAGGUUUUUGGCGUUAGGGUUAAAAUCACUGUCCAAAACCUUUUAAGGAACAAGAUUCAGACCUUUUGGAGUUGGUUACACCAAAAAAAUGUAAAAUGAAAAAAAAUAUAUUUGGGGUGUUCGGGCUUCCUGAAGGUAAUACCCUUCAGGUUUAAGUAUUAGGUUAUGGGGCUAGGAUUAGGUUUAAGGUUUUUGGCGUAAGGGUUAAAAUCACUGUCCAAUAUUUUUAAGGAACAUGUUUCAGACCUUUUGGACAUAGUUUAACCAAAAAAAAAAAAAAUAGAAAAAAUAUAUAUUUGGGGUGUUCGGGCUUCCUGAAGGUAAUACCCGAGUAUUAGGUUAUGGGGCUAGGUUAAGGUUUAAGGUUUUUGGCGUGAGGGUUAAAAUCACUGUCCAAAACCUUUGUAGGAAGUCUUUUCCAACCUUUUGGAGUUAGUUAGACAAAAAAAAAAGAUAAAUGAAAAAAAAAUAUUUGGGGUGUUCGGGCUUCCUGAAGGUAAUACCCGGGUAUUAGAUUAUGGGGCUAGGGUAAGGUUUAAGGUUUUUGGCGUAAGGGUUAAAAUCACUGUCCAAAACCUUUUUAGGAACAUGUUUCAGACCUUUUGGAGUUGGUUACACCAAAAAAAAUGUAAAAUGAAAAAAAAAAUAUUUGGGGUGUUCGGGCUUCCUGAAGGUAAUACCCUUCAGGUUUAAGUAUUAGGUUAUGGGGCUAGGAUUAGGUUUAAGGUUUUUGGCGUAAGGGUUAAAAUCACUGUCCAAUAUUUUUUAAGGAACAUGUUUCAGACCUUUUGGACAUAGUUUAACCAAAAAAAAAAAGAAAUAGAAAAAAUAUAUAUUUGGGGUGUUCGGGCUUCCUGAAGGUAAUACCCGAGUAUUAGGUUAUGGGGCUAGGUUAGGGUUUAAGGUUUUUGGCGUGAGGGUUAAAAUCACUGUCCAAAACCUUUGUAGGAAGUCUUUUCCAACCUUUUGGAGUUAGUUAGACAAAAAAAAAAAAAAGAUAAAUGAAAAAAAAAUAUUUGGGGUGUUCGGGCUUCCUGAAGGUAAUACCCGGGUAUUAGGUUAUGGGGCUAGGGUAAGGUUUAAGGUUUUUGGCGUAAGGGUUAAAAUCACUGUCCAAAACCUUUUUAGGAACAUGUUUCAGACCUUUUGGAGUUGGUUACACCAAAAAAAAAUGUAAAAUGAAAAAAAUUUUUUGGGGUGUUCGGGCUUCCUGAAGGUAAUACUAGGUUUCUGGGCUAGGGUAAGGUUUAAAGUUUUUGGCGUUAGGGUUAAAAUCAAUGUCCAAAACCUUUGUAGGAACUCUUUUCCAACCUUUGAGAGCAAGUUAGACCAAAACAAAAAGAAAAAUAAAAAAUAUAUAUUUGGGGUGUUCGGGCUUCCUGAAGGUAAUACCCGGGUAUUAGGUUAUGGGGCUAGGGUAAGGUUUAAGGUUUUUCGGCGUGAGGGUAAAAAUCACUGUCCAAAACCUUUGUAGGAACCCUUUUCCAACCUUUGGGAAUUAGUUAGACAAAAAAAAAAAGAUAAAUGAAAAAAAAUAUUUGGGGUGUUCAAGCUUCCUGAAGGUAAUACCCGGGUAAUAGGUUAUCGGGCUAGGGUAAGUUUUAAGGUUUUUGGCGUAAGGGUUAAAAUCACUGUCCAAUAUUUUUUAAGGAACAUGUUUCAGACCUUUGGGAGUUAGUUAGACAAAAAAAAAAGAAAAAGAAAAAAAAAUUAUUUGGGGUGUUCGGGUUUCCUGAAGGUAAUACCCGGGUAUUAGGUUAUGGGGCUAGGGUAAGGUUUAAGAUUUUUGGCGUUAGGGUUAAAAUCACUGUCCAAAACCUUUUAAGGAACAAGAUUCAGACCUUUUGGAGUUGGUUACACCAAAAAAAAUGUAAAGUGAAAAAAAUAUAUAUUUGGGGUGUCCGGGCUUCCUGAAGGUAAUACCCGGGUAUUAGGGUUAUGGGGCUUUCGAAAGGUUUAAGGUUUUUGGCGUGAGGGUUAAAAUCACUGUCCAAAACCUUUGUAGGAAGUCUUUUCCAACCUUUUGGAGUUAGUUAGACCAAUAAAAAAAUGAAAAAUGAAAAAAAAAAAUUUGGGGUGUUUGGGCUUCCUGAAGGUAUUAGGUUUUGGGGCUAGGGUAAGGUUUAAGGUUUUUGGCGUUAGGGUUAAAAUCACUGUCCAAAACCUUUUAAGGAACAAGAUUCAGACCUUUUGGAGUUGGUUACACCAAAAAAAAUGUAAAAUGAAAAAAAAAAUAUUUGGGGUGUUCGGGCUUCCUGAAGGUAAUACCCUUCAGGUUUAAGUAUUAGGUUAUGGGGCUAGGAUUAGGUUUAAGGUUUUUGGCGUAAGGGUUAAAAUCACUGUCCAAUAUUUUUUAAGGAACAUGUUUCAGACCUUUUGGACAUAGUUUAACCAAAAAAAAAAAGAAAUAGAAAAAAUAUAUAUUUGGGGUGUUCGGGCUUCCUGAAGGUAAUACCCGGGUAUAAGUUUUGGGGCGAUGGUAAGGUUUAAGGUUUUUGGCGUUAGGGUUAAAAUCACUGUCCAAAACCUAUUUAGGAACAUGUUUCAGACCUUUUGGAGUUGGUUAGACCAAAAAAAAAAAAGAAAAAGAAAAAAAAAUAUUUGGGGUGUUCGGGUUUCCUGAAGGUAAUACCCGGGUAUUAGGUUAUGGGGCUAGGGUAAGUUUUAAGGUUUUUGGCGUUAGGGUUAAAAUCACUGUCCAAAACCUUUUUAGGAACAUGUUUAAGACCUUUUGGAGUUGGUUCCACCAAAAAAAUGUAAAAUGAAAAAAAUAUAUAUUUGGGGUGUUCGGGAUUCCUGAAGGUAAUACCCGGGUAUUAGGUUAUGGGGCUAGGUUAAGGUUUAAGGUUUUUGGCGUGAGGGUUAAAAUCACUGUCCAAAACCUUUGUAGGAAGUCUUUUCCAACCUUUUGGAGUUAGUUAGACAAAAAAAAAAAAAGAUAAAUGAAAAAAAAAUAUUUGGGGUGUUCGGGCUUCCUGAAGGUAAUACCCGGGUAUUAGGUUAUGGGGCUAGGGUAAGGUUUAAGGUUUUUGGCGUAAGGGUUAAAAUCACUGUCCAAAACCUUUUUAGGAACAUGUUUCAGACCUUUUGGAGUUGGUUACACCAAAAAAAAUGUAAAAUGAAAAAAAAAAAUAUUUGGGGUGUUCGGGCUUCCUGAAGGUAAUAGGUUUUGGGGCUAGGGUAAGGUUUAAGGUUUUUGGCGUUAGGGUUAAAAUCACUGUCCAAAACCUUUUAAGGAACAAGAUUCAGACCUUUUGGAGUUGGUUACACCAAAAAAAAAAUGUAAAAUGAAAAAAAAAUAUUUGGGGUGUUCAAGCUUCCUGAAGGUAAUACCCGGGUAUUAGGUUAUGGGGCUAGGGUAAGUUUUAAGGUUUUUGGCGUAAGGGUUAAAAUCACUGUCCAAAACCUUUUUAGGAACAUGUUUCCUAAAAAGGAAACAUGUCCAAAACCUUUGUAGGAAGUCUUUUCCAACCUUUUGGAGUUAGUUAGACCAAAAGAAAAAACGAAAAAUGAAAAAAAGAUAUUUGGGGUGUUCGGGCUUCCUGAAGGUAAUACCCGGGUAAUAGGUUAUCGGGCUAGGGUAAGUUUUAAGGUUUUUGGCGUUAGGGUUAAAAUCACUGUCCAAAACCUUUGUAGGAACUCUUUUCCAACCUUUUGGAGUUAGUUAGACCAAAAGAAAAAAUUAAAAAUGAAAAAAAGAUAUUUGGGGUGUUCGGGCUUCCUGAAGGUAAUACCCGGGUAUUAGGUUUUGGGGCUAGGGUAAGGUUUAAGGUUUUUGGUGUUAGGGUUAAAAUCCACUGUCCAAAUCCUUUGUAGGAACUCUUUUCCAACCUUUUGGAGUUAGUCAGACCAAAAAAACUAGGGCCCCGUUGGGGCACUGGCGGGACCGAGCCGCGUCGCGUCGCCCUCAGCGCGACCGCCUCCCCCUCGCGAUUGCGUCACACUCAAGGUCCAAAGAUGGUGUGCGCACCUGUCUUUGGUCUUUUACCAUUAUAAUGAAUGGGAGGCGCAGUUUCUACCAAAACACUCGCUGCAGACAAACUACAUGUCCUAUAUGAAAAAAGUCUGGACCAUGAGUGAGGGCACAAACACAGCUAGGAUAUAUCCAAAUGGCAAGUUGCUCCUCCUUACGGUGUUGCCGGGAGAGCGAUGCGUUUCAGCCAUUGAGCAACACGCAAGAAAAAUAAAAUUUCUCCUGCCAUGGGGGGUAAGGAAAAUGACCAAUUCUUUUUUAUCAAACAUUAUAAUAUAUAUUAUAUAUUGCAGGGCAUCAAAGUCUUGAAUAUGUGAGAGAUAAGUAAUAUGAUUGACUUUGAUGCCUUUUAACUUUUUCUGUAGCAUCAGAUUUAAUAGACAACUCCCUUUGGCGCCCCUCCGUGGCCAUAACUACUUUGUCUGCUGUUAAUAGACAGCUCCCUUUGGCGCCACUCAGUGGCCAAAAUUACUUUGUCUGCUGUAAAAUCAUAUUGGAUUAAUAUUUUUUCCAGAUUUUUUUUUGUACAUCUCUUAUUUUACUUCUGCCCUGUUCAAAACUAGCAAAUGUUUCAUUGAAAAUAAUUUUUUGUAACCCUUUAAGAGCCCAUUUAAGACAUAAAGUCACUAAUAUAGCAAAAAUGUGAGCCUUUUAACUUUUUCUGUAGCAUCAGAUUUAAUAGACAACUCCCUUUGGCGCCCCUCAGUGGCCAUAUCUACUUUGUCUGCUGUUAAUAGACAGCUCCUUUGGCGCCACUCAGUGGCCAAAAUUACUUUGUCUGCUGUAAAAUCAUAUUGGAUUAAUAUUUUUUCCAGAUUUUUUUUUGUACAUCUCUUAUUUUACUUCUGCCCUGUUCAAAACUAGCAAAUGUUUCAUUGAAAAUAAUUUUUUGUAACCCUUUAAGAGCCCAUUUAAGACAUAAAGUCACUAAUAUAGCAAAAAUGUGAGCCUUUUAACUUUUUCUGUAGCAUCAGAUUUAAUAGACAACUCCCUUUGGCGCCCCUCAGUGGCCAUAUCUACUUUGUCUGCUGUUAAUAGACAACUCCCUUUGGCGCCACUCAGUGGCCAAAACUACUUUGUCUGCUGUAAAAUCAAAUUGGAUUCAUAUUUUUUCCAGAUUUUUCUUUUGUACAUCUCUUAUCUUACUUCUGCCCUGUUCAAAACUAGCAAAUGUUUCAUUGAAAAUAAUUUUUUGUAACCCUUUAAGAGUCCAUUUAAGACAUAAAGUCACUAAUAUAGCAAAAAUGUGAGCCUUUUAACUUUUUCUGUAGCAUCAGAUUUAAUAGACAACUCCCUUUGGCGCCCCUCAGUGGCCAUAUCUACUUUGUCUGCUGUUAAUAGACAACUCCCUUUGGCGCCACUCAGUGGCCAAAACGACUUUUAAGAAUGUGGAUUUUUGGGUCAUCUUUGGCGCCCCCUAGAACGUAAACCGUGGGAUGCAGCGUCAUGAUUUUUACAACUUUGAAUGGCCAUGGGGUGUAGAUUGGCCUGAGCAAAUUUGGUGUCGGUGGGACGAAAGCCUUAGGAGGAGUUAGUCACAUUCCAAUGUGUGCGAAUCGGCAAAAAAAUGCGAAAUAGCCCUUUAACCGUACAUUUUACAGACACGUGCCCAUUGACUUUUUCAUAGAUCUUAUUGAGAUACACGUGAUUGUCAAAUUUUGUGUCAAUAUGACAAAGCGUAUAGGCGUGACACUCAACAAUGUGUAUUUUCACCUUAGGGGACAAGAAAAAAUUGAAUUUUUUCUCCUGCAAUGGGGGGCGCUCUUUUGGGGAGUAAAAAUUCCUUCACAAAUGUGUUGAUGGCUGGACAUUGCAUCAUCCUAGAAAAUUCAAAGAUCACAAAACAGCACAAUCUCAAGUUCAAACACGACACAAACUCAGGUUCAACAAACACACAAACUCAAGUUUAACCAAUACCCAAUUCUCACGUUUAACAAUUUCCACAACCUCAAGUUCAAACACGACACAAACUCAAGUUCAAACACGACACAAACUCAAGUUCAAACAACACCCAAAUAUCAAGUUUAACAUCUGCCAACACCUCAAGUUCAAAAACACCACAAACUCAAGUUCUAAAUGACAAAAACUCAAGUUCAACAAACACACGAACUCAAGUUCAACCAAUGCCCACUUUGCAAGUUUAACAAUUUCCACAACCUCAAGUUGUGGAAAAACAAAAACUCAAGUUCAGACACACCACAAACUCAAGUUAGAAAAACACACAGACUCAAGUUCAACCAACACCUAAGUCACAAGUUUAACAAUUGCCACAAACUUCAGUUCAAAAAACACAAAAGCUCAAGAUCAAAAACACCACAAACUCAAGUUCAAACACGAUUCACAAACUCAAGUUCAACCAAAUCCCAAAUCUCAAGUUUAACAAUUUCCACAACCUCAAGUUCAAAACCAACAGAAACUCAAGUUCAAACACGCCACAAACUCAAGUACAACAAACGCCACAAACUCAAGUUCAACAAUUGCCACCAAGUAAAGUUCAGAGAAAAAUACAGACUCAAGGUUAGCAAUUGCCACAAACUCAAGUUCAUCAAACACCACAAGCUUAAGUUAAAAAAAUGACCAAUAUUCACAUUAAACAAUUGCCAAAAACCCAAGUUCAACAUACUCAAGUUCAAAAAUUGCAAAAAACUCAGGUUCAAAAAAUACACAAAUUCAAGUUCAAAAACACCACAAACUCAAGUUCAAAAAUGCCGAAACUUAAUUUCAACCAACACCCAAAUCUCAAGUUUAACAAUUGCCACAACCUCAUGUUCAAAAACAACAGAAACUCAAAUUCAAAAACACCAAAAACUCAAGUUAAAAAACCCCCACACAAAUUCAAGAUCACAAAACAGCACAAUCUCAAGUUCAAACAAGACACAAACUCAGGUUCAACAAACACACAAGCUCAAGAUAAACCAAUACCCAAUUCUCACGUUUAACAAUUUCCACAACCUCAAGUUCAAAUACAACACAAACUCAGGUUCAAACACGACACAAACUCAAGUGCAAAAACACCACAAACUCAAGUUCAACAAUUGCCACCAACUAAAGUUCGGAGAAAAUACAGACUCAAGUUCAACAAUUGCCACAAACUCAAGUUCAACAAACACCACAAUCUUAAGUUCAACAAAUUCCAAAAUUUCAAGUUCAACAAAUGACCUAAACUCACACUUAACAAUUGCCAAAAACUAAAGUUCAACAAACUCAAGUUAAAAAAGUGCCACAAAAUGAAGUUCAAAAACACCACAAACUCAAGUUCAAAAAACACAAAAACUCAAGUUCAAAAACACCACAAACUCAAUUUCAAACACGAUACAAACUCAAGUUCAACAAACACCACAAACUCAAGUUCAACAAAUGUCACAGUUUCAAGUUCAACCAACACCCGAUUCUCAGGUUUAACAAUUUCCACAACCUCAAAUUCAAAAAACACACAAACUCAAGUUCAAAAACACCAGAACCUCAAGUUCAAAAAACAUAAUAAACUCAAGUUCAAAUAUUCCACAAACUCAAGUUCAAUGAACACCACAAACUCAAGUUCAACCAACACCCGAUUCUCAAGUUUAACAAUUGCCACAACCUCAAGUUAAAAAAAACACAAACUCAAGUUCAAACACUUCACAAACUCAAGUUCAACAAACGCCACAAGCUCAAGUUCAACAAACGCCACAAACUCAAGUUCAACAAUGCCACCAACUAAAGUUCACUAAAAACCAAAGACUCAAGUUCAACAAUUGCCAAAAAAUCAAGCGAAACAAACUCAAGUUCAUAAGUUGUCACAAACUUCAAACAUGACACAAACUCAAGUUCAAAAACACCACAAACUCAAGUUCAAAAAGACACAAACUCAAGUUCAACAAACAAAACUAACUGUUUAGAGUAAUUUUGAGGUGUUUGAGAGGUUUUUUGUAGACUUACCCUAGUGGUCCUAUGUUGUUGUUGAUGUGAGGCGUUUCUUUUCCAGUAGUCUAAAAUCUGUUGGAGGGGGAAAAGGUUCCAGCUGUCCAGCCGCGGCGGCAGCGGUGUGUCUGAAGUCCGGGGUCAUCGGCGGGGGAAAGAAGAUAGGCGCUCCGCGGCAAGGUUUGCUGGGACUCGGUGCCGUUGGCGGGUCGAAGCUCGGUGGUGGGCGGCUUGGAGUGAUGGAGGUGCGGCGUCUUCUUUCAGGUGGUGGGGCGGCGUCUUCCUCGAGGCGGUGGUCGGUCUUCUUGGUCCAGUGGUCAGUGCUUUGUCUCAAUAGCAGGAACAGGAAUUGCUCUUUAGUGCACAGCACUUAAAUGUGCUUUUGACAGGAGAAGACAUCCCCAGAGUUGGGCUCAAGUCAUGGUUUGUGCUGUUCCUCUCAGACAUGGUUGUGUUCUCUUCUCGAUGUUUGUAUUCCAGAAUGGAUGUCUCUUGGUUGUAUUUUAAACUUUCAAGUUGUUUUAAGUUAAUUUUAAUGUAGUUUAUUUGUUUUAAAUUUAGUUUUGCUACAUUAAAUUUGUAUGCAAUCGUAAGGGAUUGUGGGUAUUUUAGUUCUGAGGGAUGAGAGCCUAAGGAAUCAAUCUUCCUGUUACAGCAAAGGAUUGUGGGUAAAACCGUGAGUGAGUGAGGUACUUCCUUUCUGCCAUGAGAGCCUUGGGAAUCAAUCUCCCUGUUGCAGCAAAGGAUUGUGGGUAAAACCGUGAGUGAGGGAGGUACAUUUUUCCUGGCAUGAGAACCUCAGGAGUCAGUCCUUCCUAAGAAAAAAGAGGGGAGGGGGAAGACAAACAAAAGCACAGGAACCCUAAAAUGAAAUAAAAUAAAAUAAAAUAAAAUAAUAUAAAACAAUGAAAAAAUAAAAAAUAAAAGAACAAAAGUGGAUUGCAAAAGGGAAAGGAGAAGAAAAAAGGAAAAAAAGAAGUGUCAAGAGCAAAUAGCAAAAAACAGAAGUGAGCUUAAAAACAGAGAACAGUUCCCUAAAAGACAGACAGAAAUGUAAAUUUGAUCAAUGUCCUAAGGGAAAAUCUGCACGUGUAUGUGUGUUCUUUUUUACUAGCUUAGUCUGGUGUCACUGAUGGUCAGUUAUCAAUAAGUAUUUAUUAUUUAAAUUUUUGAUGAAGUUGUUUGUAGUGGGGUCAGCUGGCUAAUUUUAGUGUGUUAAAAAAGAUGUUAGAGGGGGAGGAUUUAGGUGGCAUGGCGGUUCCCCUUCAGGUCUCUCUUAAUCCUCAAUAUAGGUGACCCAACAGGGGUUACCCCCGGCCGGGGUAGGCCGAGGCUGAAGAUCACCUAUUUGUCCUCUGUGAAGGUGAAAAUAAAGGGGCAGGGGAGGGAAUAAGAAAGAGGGGGGUGUUAGGGGAGAGAUGAGGAGAGAGAGAGAGAGAGAGAGGGGGGGGGGUGGAGAGAGAGAGAGAGAGAGAGAGAGAGAGAGAGAGAGAGAGAGAGAGAGAGAGAGAGAAGGGAAGAGGGAGAGGGGGUUUAAGGGAGAGGUGGAGAUGGUGGAAAAUAAAGAUUGGUGAGGGGGAUUUGGUGGCGGAUGAAACAUUCCAUAGCUCCCCAGCUCUCACCAUCCAUGUGAGGAGAGUGAGCAAGGGACAUAGUCACCCGACCCGACUAGGUCUAGGCUCUGCUCUCCUCACGGUCCUCACAAGAUACAAAGAGAUAUGUAAACGUGGAAGUGAGAGUUCUCUAGGCAGAGUUUUGGGUUUGGUUUGAGCUGAGUUGGUCAGUUGAUUAUUGAUUACUAUUUUAAGUUCUAAAAGUGGAUAGAGUCAAAAAGUCACAGAGGAUUGUGGUGGGAGCAGGUGGUCCAUCUGGCACCAUUCUGCUCAUGCAGGGAUUCGAGUGAUAGAAAGAGAAUAGAUCUUGCCACCGUGACUCGCCAUUGAGACUCUCCUCACCUGCUGGUUUUCAUCCUCUGAUAGGAGAGAGAGGUACAGAUCAGGAGAGAGGGAGAAAAGGAGGGAGGCAGGGUGGGGUCAGGAGUUAAUUUGUCUUGAAAAGUAUUUAUCUUUUCAUCAUUGCUGUUAGGGUUUAGAUGUUUUUUGUUUAGUUUUCUGAGGAAUGUAGUGUUAGUAUAGGUUCCAAGGUGGAGGAUUCUUUGGAAUUCACUCUCACCCUUGAAACUGGAAGAUCUUAGAUUCUAUAAAGGGGGGGGGGGGGGUGAGAGGUUGUGUGCACAGAAGGAGCAUGGGCUCAGACUAUUCUCGGAAUGAUAUUGUGACAAGUCUGUCCGAAGGUAAGUGGCUGGUUAGGUGUGGGAAAGAGAUAGAGUGAUAGCCCCCGCUUUCGUCAGUUGACUUGGCGGGCUUCCUGAAGGUAAUACCCGGGUAUUAGGUUAUAGGGCUAGGGUAAGGUUUAAGGUUUUUGGCAUAUGGGUUAAAAUCACUGUCCAAAACCUUUUUAGGAACAUGUUUCAGACCUUUUGGAGUUGGUUACACCAAAAAAAAAUGUAAAAUGAAAAAAAUUUUUUUUGGGGUGUUCGGGCUUUCUGAAGGUAAUACUAGGUUAUGGGGCUAGGGUAAUGUUUAAGGUUUUUGGGGUUAGGGUUAAAAUCAAUGUCCAAAACCUUUGUAGGAACUCUUUUCCAACCUUUGAGAGCAAGUUAGACCAAAACAAAAAGAAAAAAAAAAUAUAUAUAUUUGGGGUGUUCGGGCUUCCUGAAGGUAAUACCCGGGUAUUAGGUUAUGGGGCUAGGGUAAGGUUUAAGGUUUUUCGGCGUGAGGGUAAAAAUCACUGUCCAAAACCUUUGUAGGAACUCUUUUCCAACCUUUUGGAAUUAGUUAGACAAAAAAAAAAGAUAAAUGAAAAAAAAAGGUUUGGGGUGUUCGGGCUUCCUGAAGGUAAUACCCGGGUAUUAGGUUUUGGGGCUAGGGUUAGGUUUAAGGUUUUUGGCGUUAGGGUUAAAAUCACUGUCCAAUAUUUUUUAAGGAACAUGUUUCAGACCUUUUGGAGUUAGUUAGACAAAAAAAAAAAGAUAAAUGAAAAAAAAAUAUUUGGGGUGUUCGGGCUUCCUGAAGGUAAUACCCGGGUAUUAGGUUAUGGGGCUAGGGUAAGGUUUAAGGUUUUUGGCGUUAGAGUUAAAAUCAGUGUCCAAAACCUUUUUAGGAACAUGUUUAAGACCUUUUGGAGUUGGUUACACCAAAAAAAAAAAGGAAAAUGAAAAAAAAAAUAUUUGGGGUGUUCGAGCUUCCUGAAGGUAAUACCCGGGUAUUACGUUUUGGGGCUAGGGUAAGGUUUAAGGUUUUUGGUGUUAGGGUUAAAAUCACUGUCCAAAACCUUUGUAGGAACUCUUUUCCGACCUUUUGGAGUUAGUUAGACCAAAUAAACAGAAAAAAGAAAAAAAUAUAUUUGGGGUCUUCGGGCUUCCUGAAGGAAAUACCCAGGUAUUAGGUUAUGGGGCUAGGGUAAGGUUUAAGGUUUUUGGCGUUAGGGUUAAAAUCAGUGUCCAAAACCUUUUUAGGAACAUGUUUAAGACCUUUUGGAGUUGGUUACACCAAAAAAAAUGUAAAAUGCAAAAAAAAAAUAUUUGGGGUUUUUGGGCUUCCUGAAGGUAAUACCCAGGUAUUAGGUUUUGGGGCUAGGGUUAGGUUUAAGGUAUUUGGCGUUAGGGUUAAAAUCACUGUCCAAAACCUUUUUAGGAACAUGUUUCAGACCUUUUGGAGUUGGUUACACCAAAAAAAAAAUGUAAAAUGAAAAAAAAAUAUUUGGGGUGUUCAAGCUUCCUGAAGGUAAUACCCGGGUAUUAGGUUAUGGGGCUAGGGUAAGGUUAAAGGUUUUUGGAGUUAGAGUUAAAAUCAGUGUCCAAAACCUUUUUAGGAACAUGUUUAAGACCUUUUGGAGUUGGUUACACCAAAAAAAAAAUGUAAAAUGAAAAAAAAAAAAUUUGGGGUGUUCGGGCUUCCUGAAGGUAAUACCCGGGUAUUAGGUUUUGGGGCUAGGGUAAGGUUUAAGGUUUUUGGCGUUAGGGUUAAAAUCACUGUCCAAAACCUUUGUAGGAACUCUUUUCUGACCUUUUGGAGUUAGUUAGACCAAAAAAAAUGAAAAAAGAAAAAAAUAUAUUUGGGGUGUUCGGGCUUCCUGAAGGUAAUACCCGGGUAUUAGGUUAUGGGGCUAGGGUAAGGUUUAAGGUUUUUGGCGUUAGGGUUAAAAUCACUGUCCAAAACCUUUUUAGGAACAUGUUUCAGACCUUUUGGAGUUGGUUACACCAAAAAAAAUGUAAAAUGAAAAAAAUAUAUAUUUGGGGUGUUCGGGCUUCCUGAAGGUAAUACCCGGGUAUUAGGGUUAUGGGGCUUUGGAAAGGUUUAAGGUUUUUGGCGUGAGGGUUAAAAUCACUGUCCAAAACCUUUGUAGGAAGUCUUUUCCAACCUUUUGGAGUUAGUUAGACCAAUAAAAAAAUGAAAAAUGAAAAAAAAAAAUUUGGGGUGUUCGGGCUUCCUGAAGGUAUUAGGUUUUGGGGCUAGGGUAAGGUUUAAGGUUUUUGGCGUUAGGGUUAAAAUCACUGUCCAAAACCUUUUAAGGAACAAGAUUCAGACCUUUUGGAGUUGGUUACACCAAAAAAAAUGUAAAAUGAAAAAAAAAUAUUUGGGGUGUUCGGGAUUCCUGAAGGUAAUACCCUUCAGGGUAAGUAUUAGGUUAUGGGGCUAGGAUAAGGUUUAAGGUUUUUGGCAUAAGGGUUAAAAUCACUGUCCAAUAUUUUUUAAGGAACAUGUUUCAGACCUUUUGGAGCUAGUUUGACCAAAAAAAAAAAGAAAAAGAAAAAAUAUUUAUUUGGGGUGUUCGGGCUUCCUGAAGGUAAUACCCGGGUAUUAGGUUAUGGGGCUAGGUUAAGGUUUAAGGUUUUUGGCGUGAGGGUUAAAAUCACUGUCCAAAACCUUUGUAGGAAGUCUUUUCCAACCUUUUGGAGUUAGUUAGACAAAAAAAAAAAGAUAAAUGAAAAAAAUAUAUUUGGGGUGUUCGGGCUUCCUGAAGGUAAUACCCGGGUAUUAGGUUAUGGGGCUAGGGUAAGGUUUAAGGUUUUUGGCGUAAGGGUUAAAAUCACUGUCCAAAACCGUUUUAGGAACAUGUUUCAGACCUUUUGGAGUUGGUUACACCAAAAAAAAAAGUAAAAUGAAAAAAAAAUAUUUGGUGUGUUCAAGCUUCCUGAAGGUAAUACCCGGGUAUUAGGUUAUGGGGCUAGGGUAAGGUUUAAGGUUUUUGGCGUAAGGGUUAAAAUCACUGUCCAAAACCUUUGUAGGACCUCUUUUCCAACCUUUUGGUGUUAGUUAGACCAAAAAAAAACGAAAAAUGAAAAAAAAAUAUUUGGGGUGUUCGGGCUUCCUGAAGGUAAUAGGUUUCUGGGCUAGGGUAAUGUUUAACGUUUUUGGCGUUAGGGUUCAAAUCAAUGUCCAAAACCUUUGUAGGAACUCUUUUCCAACCUUUGAGAGCAAGUUAGACCAAAACAAAAAGAAAAAUAAAAAAUAUAUAUUUGGGGUGUUCGGGCUUCCUGAAGGUAAUACCUGGGUAUUAGGUUUUGGGGCUAGGGUUAGGUUUAAGGUUUUUGGCGUUAGGGUUAAAAUAACUGUCCAAUAUUUUUUAAGGAACAUGUUUCAGACCUUUGGGAGUUAGUUAGACAAAAAAAAAGAAAAAGAAAAAAAAAUUAUUUGGGGUGUUCGGGUUUCCUGAAGGUAAUACCCGGGUAUUAGGUUAUGGGGCUAGGGUAAGGUUUAAGGUUUUUGGCGUUAGAGUUAAAAUCAGUGUCCAAAACCUUUUUAGGAACAUGUUUAAGACCUUUUGGAGUUGGUUACACCAAAAAAAAUGUAAAAUGAAAAAAAAAUAUUUGGGGUGUUCGGGCUUCCUGAAGGUAAUACCCGGGUAUUAGGUUAUGGGGCUAGGGUAAGGUUUAAGGUUUUUGGCGUGAGGGUUAAAAUCACUGUCCAAAACCUUUGUAGGACCUCUUUUCCAACCUUUUGGUGUUAGUUAGACCAAAAAAAAACGAAAAAUGAAAAAAAAAUAUUUGGGGUUUUUGGGCUUCCUGAAGGUAAUACCCGGGUAUUAGGUUAUGGGGCUUUGGAAAGGUUUAAGGUUUUUGGCGUGAGGGUUAAAAUCACUGUCCAAAACCUUUGUAGGAAGUCUUUUCCAACCUUUUGGAGUUAGUUAGACCAAUAAAAAAAUGAAAAAUGAAAAAAAAAAAUUUGGGGUGUUUGGGCUUCCUGAAGGUAUUAUGUUUUGGGGCUAGGGUAAGGUUUAAGGUUUUUGGCGUUAGGGUUAAAAUCACUGUCCAAAACCUUUUAAGGAACAAGAUUCAGACCUUUUGGAGUUGGUUACACCAAAAAAAUGUAAAAUGAAAAAAAAUAUAUUUGUGGUGUUCGGGCUUCCUGAAGGUAAUACCCUUCAGGUUUAAGUAUUAGGUUAUGGGGCUAGGAUUAGGUUUAAGGUUUUUGGCGUAAGGGUUAAAAUCACUGUCCAAAACCUUUUUAGGAACAUGUUUCAGACCUUUUGGACAUAGUUUAACCAAAAAAAAAAAGAAAUAGAAAAAAUAUAUAUUUGGGGUGUUCGGGCUUCCUGAAGGUAAUACCCGGGUAUUAGGUUAUGGGGCUAGGUUAAGGUUUAAGGUUUUUGGCGUGAGGGUUAAAAUCACUGUCCAAAACCUUUGUAGGAAGUCUUUUCCAACCUUUUGGAGUUAUUUAGACAAAAAAAAAAGAUAAAUGAAAAAAAAAUAUUUGGGGUGUUCGGGCUUCCUGAAGGUAAUACCCGGGUAUUAGGUUAUGGGGCUAGGGUAAGGUUUAAGGUUUUUGGCGUAAGGGUUAAAAUCACUGUCCAAAACCUUUUUAGGAACAUGUUUCAGACCUUUUGGAGUUGGUUACACCAAAAAAAAUGUAAAAUGAAAAAAAAAUAUUUGGGGUGUUCGGGCUUCCUGAAGGUAAUACCCUUCAGGGUAAGUAUUAUGUUAUGGGGCUAGGAUAAGGUUUAAGGUUUUUGGCAUAAGGGUUAAAAUCACUGUCCAAUAUUUUUUAAGGAACAUGUUUCAGACCUUUUGGAGCUAGUUUGACCAAAAAAAAAAAAGAAAAAGAAAAAAUAUAUAUAUGGGGUGUUCGGGCUUCCUGAAGGUAAUACCUGGGUAUUAGGUUAUGGGGCUAGGUUAAGGUUUAAGGUUUUUGGCGUGAGGGUUAAAAUCACUGUCCAAAACCUUUGUAGGAAGUCUUUUCCAACCUUUUGGAGUUAGUUAGACAAAAAAAAAAGAUAAAUGAAAAAAAAAUAUUUGGGGUGUUUGGGCUUCCUGAAGGUAUUAGGUUUUGGGGCUAGGGUAAGGUUUAAGGUUUUUGGCGUUAGGGUUAAAAUCACUGUCCAAAACCUUUUAAGGAACAAGAUUCAGACCUUUUGGAGUUGGUUACACCAAAAAAAAUGUAAAAUGAAAAAAAAAUAUUUGGGGUGUUCGGGCUUCCUGAAGGUAAUACCCUUCAGGGUAAGUAUUAGGUUAUGGGGCUAGGAUAAGGUUUAAGGUUUUUGGCAUAAGGGUUAAAAUCACUGUCCAAUAUUUUUUAAGGAACAUGUUUCAGACCUUUUGGAGCUAGUUUGACCAAAAAAAAAAAGAAAAAGAAAAAAUAUAUAUUUGGGGUGUUCGGGCUUCCUGAAGGUAAUACCUGGGUAUUAGGUUAUGGGGCUAGGUUAAGGUUUAAGGUUUUUGGCGUGAGGGUUAAAAUCACUGUCCAAAACCUUUGUAGGAAGUCUUUUCCAACCUUUUGGAGUUAGUUAGACAAAAAAAAAAAGAUAAAUGAAAAAAAAAUAUUUGUGGUGUUCGGGCUUCCUGAAGGUAAUACCCGGGUAUUAGGUUAUGGGGCUAGGGUAAGGUUUAAGGUUUUUGGCGUAAGGGUUAAAAUCACUGUCCAAAACCGUUUUAGGAACAUGUUUCAGACCUUUUGGAGUUGGUUACACCAAAAAAAAAUGUAAAAUGAAAAAAAAAUAUUUGGUGUGUUCAAGCUUCCUGAAGGUAAUACUCGGGUAUUAGGUUAUGGGGCUAGGGUAAGGUUUAAGGUUUUUGGCGUAAGGGUUAAAAUCACUGUCCAAAACCGUUUUAGGAACAUGUUUCAGACCUUUUGGAGUUGGUUACACCAAAAAAAAAUGUAAAAUGAAAAAAAAUUUUUUUGGGGUGUUCGGGCUUCCUGAAGGUAAUACUAGGUUUCUGGGCUAGGGUAAUGUUUAAGGUUUUUGGCGUUAGGGUUAAAAUCAAUGUCCAAAACCUUUGUAGGAACUCUUUUCCAACCUUUGAGAGCAAGUUAGACCAAAACAAAAAGAAAAAUAAAAAAUAUAUAUUUGGGGUGUUCGGGCUUCCUGAAGGUAAUACCUGGGUAUUAGGUUUUGGGGCUAGGGUUAGGUUUAAGGUUUUUGGCGUUAGGGUUAAAAUAACUGUCCAAUAUUUUUUAAGGAACAUGUUUCAGACCUUUGGGAGUUAGUUAGACAAAAAAAAAGAAAAAGAAAAAAAAAUUAUUUGGGGUGUUCGGGUUUCCUGAAGGUAAUACCCGGGUAUUAGGUUAUGGGGCUAGGGUAAGGUUUAAGGUUUUUGGCGUUAGAGUUAAAAUCAGUGUCCAAAACCUUUUUAGGAACAUGUUUAAGACCUUUUGGAGUUGGUUACACCAAAAAAAAUGUAAAAUGAAAAAAAUAUAUAUUUGGGGUGUUCGGGCUUCCUGAAGGUAAUACCCGGGUAUUAGGUUAUGGGGCUAGGGUAAGGUUUAAGGUUUUUGGCGUGAGGGUUAAAAUCACUGUCCAAAACCUUUGUAGGAAGUCUUUUCCAACCUUUUGGAGUUAGUUAGACCAAAAAAAAACGAAAAAUGAAAAAAAAAUAUUUGUGGUGUUCGGGCUUCCUGAAGGUAAUACCCGGGUAUUAGGUUAUGGGGCUAGGGUAAGGUUUAAGGUUUUUGGCGUAAGGGUUAAAAUCACUGUCCAAAACCGUUUUAGGAACAUGUUUCAGACCUUUUGGAGUUGGUUACACCAAAAAAAAAUGUAAAAUGAAAAAAAAAUAUUUGGGGUGUUCGGGCUUCCUGAAGGUAAUACCCGGGUAUUAGGUUAUGGGGCUAGGGUAAGGUUUAAGGUUUUUGGCGUAAGGGUUAAAAUCACUGUCCAAAACCUUUUUAGGAACAUGUUUCAGACCUUUUGGAGUUGGUUACACCAAAAAAAAUGUAAAAUGAAAAAAAAAAAUUUUGGGGUGUUCGGGCUUCCUGAAGGUAAUACUAGGUUUCUGGGCUAGGGUAAUGUUUAACGUUUUUGGCGUUAGGGUUCAAAUCAAUGUCCAAAACCUUUGUAGGAACUCUUUUCCAACCUUUGAGAGCAAGUUAGACCAAAACAAAAAGAAAAAUAAAAAAUAUAUAUUUGGGGUGUUCGGGCUUCCUGAAGGUAAUACCCGGGUAUUAGGUUUUGGGGCUAGGGUUAGGUUUAAGGUUUUUGGCGUUAGGGUUAAAAUAACUGUCCAAUAUUUUUUAAGGAACAUGUUUCAGACCUUUUGGAGUUAGUUAGACAAAAAAAAAAGAAAAAGAAAAAAAAAUAUUUGGGGUGUUCGGGCUUCCUGAAGGUAAUACCCGGGUAUUAGGUUAUGGGGCUAGGGUAAGGUUUAAGGUUUUUGGCGUUAGAGUUAAAAUCACUGUCCAAAACCUUUUUAGGAACAUGUUUAAGACCUUUUGGAGUUGGUUACACCAAAAAAAAAUGUAAAAUGAAAAAAAAAAUAUUUGGGGUGUUCGGGCUUCCUGAAGGUAAUACCCGGGUAUUAGGUUAUGGGGCUAGGGUAAGGUUUAAGGUUUUUGGCGUUAGGGUUAAAAUCACUGUCCAAAACCUUUGUAGGAAGUCUUUUCCAACCUUUUGGAGUUAGUUAGACCAAAAGAAAAAACGAAAAAUGAAAAAAAAAUAUUUGGGGUGUUUGGGCUUCCUGAAGGUAUUAGGUUAUGGGGCUAGGGUAAGGUUUAAGGUUUUUGGCGUUAGGGUUAAAAUCACUGUCCAAAACCUUUUAAGGAACAAGAUUCAGACCUUUUGGAGUUGGUUACACCAAAAAAAAUGUAAAAUGAAAAAAAAUAUAUUUGGGGUGUUCGGGCUUCCUGAAGGUAAUACCCGGGUAUUAGGUUAUGGGGCUAGGGUAAGGUUUAAGGUUUUUGGCGUAAGGGUUAAAAUCACUGUCCAAAACCUUUUUAGGAACAUGUUUCAGACCUUUUGGACAUAGUUUAACCAAAAAAAAAAAAGAAAUAGAAAAAAUAUAUAUUUGGGGUGUUCGGGCUUCCUGAAGGUAAUACCCGGGUAUUAGGUUAUGGGGCUAGGGUAAGGUUUAAGGUUUUUGGCGUGAGGGU